RNAcentral lists this ribosomal RNA (253 nucleotides) under uncultured bacterium. Its description in RNAcentral is "partial 16S ribosomal RNA". It matches the Rfam family "Bacterial small subunit ribosomal RNA", at positions 524 to 776 of the family's 1533-position model. The record is from RNAcentral.
UACGGAGGGCGCAAGCGUUGUUCGGAAUCACUGGGCGUAAAGCGCGUGCAGGCGGCUUGGUAAGUCGGGCGGGAAAUCCCGGAGCUCAACUCCGGAACUGCACCCGAUACUGCCUCGCUAGAGUCCCGGAGAGGAUGGCGGAAUUUCCGGUGUAGAGGUGAAAUUCGUAGAUAUCGGAACGCACACCGGCGGCGAAGGCGGCCAUCUUGACGGUGACUGACGCCCCGACGCAAGAGCUCAGGGAGGAAACAGG